AGCUAGAGCUUUGUAAAUGAAGUCUUUGAAGCUAGAGCUCUUGUGAAUGAAGCUUUUGAAGCUAGAGCUCUGUAAAUGAAGCUUUUGAAGCUAGAGCUCUUGUGAAUGAAGCUUUUGAAGCUAGAGCUCUGUAAAUGAAGCUUUUGAAGCUAUAGCUCUUGUAAAUGAAGUCUUUGAAGCUGAUUUGACAUGAGUGAUGCUCAUGCAUGUUUAUGUUGAUUGACAUGAGUGAUGCUCAUGGAUGUUGACAUGAGUGAUGCUUAUGGAUGUUUAUGUUGAUUGACAUGAGUGAUGCUCAUGGAUGUUGACAUGAGUGAUGCUCAUGAAUGUUUAUGUAUGAUUGACAUGAGUGAUGUUCAUGAAUGUUUAUGUAUGAAUGACAUGAGUAGU
This 390-nucleotide long non-coding RNA is filed under the name Malus domestica (apple). RNAcentral describes it as "long non-coding RNA (MDOM_LNC016232)". The record is from RNAcentral. Lineage: Eukaryota; Viridiplantae; Streptophyta; Magnoliopsida; Rosales; Rosaceae.